RNAcentral lists this ribosomal RNA (1499 nucleotides) under uncultured prokaryote. RNAcentral describes it as "partial 16S ribosomal RNA". It matches the Rfam family "Bacterial small subunit ribosomal RNA". The record is from RNAcentral.
AGAGUUUGAUCCUGGCUCAGAUUGAACGCUGGCGGCAGGCCUAACACAUGCAAGUCGAACGCGAAAGCUCCUUCGGGAGUGAGUAGAGUGGCGGACGGGUGAGUAAUACUUAGGAAUCUGCCCAGUAGUGGGGGACAACCCGGGGAAACCCGGGCUAAUACCGCAUACGCUCUACGGAGGAAAGCGGGGGAUCUUCGGACCUCGCGCUAUUGGAUGAGCCUAAGUCGGAUUAGCUUGUUGGUAGGGUAACGGCCUACCAAGGCGACGAUCCGUAACUGGUCUGAGAGGAUGACCAGUCACACUGGGACUGAGACACGGCCCAGACUCCUACGGGAGGCAGCAGUGGGGAAUAUUGGACAAUGGGCGCAACCCUGAUCCAGCCAUGCCGCGUGUGUGAAGAAGGCCUUCGGGUUGUAAAGCACUUUCAGUAGGGAAGAAAAGCCUAAGGUUAAUAACCUUGGGUCUUGACGGUACCUACACAAGAAGCACCGGCUAAUUCCGUGCCAGCAGCCGCGGUAAUACGGAAGGUGCUAGCGUUAAUCGGAAUCACUGGGCGUAAAGCGCGCGUAGGCGGUCAUGUAAGUCGGAUGUGAAAGCCCCGGGCUCAACCUGGGAACUGCAUUCGAUACUGCAUGACUAGAGUGUAAUAGAGGGAAGUGGAAUUUCCGGUGUAGCGGUGAAAUGCGUAGAUAUCGGAGGGAACACCAAUGGCGAAGGCAACUUCCUGGGACAAUACUGACGCUGAGGUGCGAAAGCGUGGGGAGCAAACAGGAUUAGAUACCCUGGUAGUCCACGCCGUAAACGAUGUCAACUAGUCGUCGGGAGGGUUUUGCCUCUUAGUGGCGAAGCUAACGCGUUAAGUUGACCGCCUGGGGAGUACGGCCGCAAGGUUAAAACUCAAAUGAAUUGACGGGGGCCCGCACAAGCGGUGGAGCAUGUGGUUUAAUUCGAUGCAACGCGAAGAACCUUACCUGGCCUUGACAUCCUGUGAACUUUCUAGAGAUAGAUCGGUGCCUUCGGGAGCACAGUGACAGGUGCUGCAUGGCUGUCGUCAGCUCGUGUCGUGAGUUGUUGGGUUAAGUCCCGUAACGAGCGCAACCCUUGUCCUCAGUUGCCAGCAGGUCUGGCUGGGCACUCUGGGGAAACUGCCGGUGAUAAGCCGGAGGAAGGUGGGGAUGACGUCAAGUCCUCAUGGCCCUUAUGAGCUGGGCUACACACGUGCUACAAUGGCGGUGACAAUGGGCAGCGAAGGGGCGACCUGGAGCGAAAUCCCCAAACGCCGUCUCAGUUCGGAUUGCACUCUGCAACUCGAGUGCAUGAAGCCGGAAUCGCUAGUAAUCGUGGAUCAGCAUGCCACGGUGAAUACGUUCCCGGGCCUUGUACACACCGCCCGUCACACCAUGGGAGUUGGUUUUACCCGAAGCCGGUGCGCUAACUACGGAGGCAGCCGACCACGGUAAGGUCAGCGACUGGGGUGAAGUCGUAACAAGGUAGCCGUA